UAUGAUGAAGAAAGAAUGGGAAGAAUUUUUGGUUUUCCUCAAUGUGAAAAGAUAUUGAUGGUGCAUGGUCAUCAUGAGUAGUUCUCUUAAAAGUGUUUUGAUAAUAUUGGUAGCAAGGCAGCAUGCUGACGGUACUGUACUGUUCAGCUUUGUUAUCUAGACAUAUAUUCUUCUGAACUAAAUAGUAUUCUUAAAUCUCUCAAGAACCAAAAGUGUUGACACCUGUGCAGACACUAGGAUAGAGAAGGCUGCACUGUGAAGAUGUAAAGAACGGCACUUCAAUUUCAGAGAUUCUGUUCAGUAGCACGUCAACAGACUGAGUGUUGUAUUGGUAUCAAAGUAUUUAAUUUGAUACAUGGCCUCAUCUUGGAAGUUGCUGAUGGAAGCUUAUCAUGUACAUUCAGAUGAUAGGACCUGUUGAAAAUUACACUAUCGGUUUUUUGGCAUCUCAAUACUUAAAAAUAUUCCCCUAUGUAGGCAAGUAAGACUCUUUUACCAAGUACAGCUAACAAUCAAAGAGGCUCAAUAUCACAGCACACUUAGAAACCAGAAUUUGGUAGAGAAAUGACUAAAAAGAAUGUUGUAGUCUCCAUGAUUUUUGUUACUGUUGUUAUGAGCAGCUGAAAAAUGGAAGCUCUUCUGAUAAAACACUAGUUACAAAAUUAAUUUUCUUCAUGUUGUGUCCCAUCUGCAGUUAAAAUGCAGACUAAUCUACCUGGAGGUUCUCAGUGAUUAUGAUCAUGUCAAAGAGACUUGCUUUAUUUUGAGGCAAACUCCAGAGGAAAUAAAGGCUUGUUACAGGCAUGUGUUGGCAAUGUCUUUUGUUGCAAGUGGACAACAGUGUAAAGCAGUUAUCUCAUUUGUAAGUUUUCAGUAGUGAAUUGAUUUUGCCUCCUUUCACUUUCUUCACUAUGACACAAUGUGCACAUGUACCAUAUAGGGAUGAAAGGAUUCUUUUUCUUUCCAAUUCUUUCAUUUCAAGAGGUUUCAGGAACAUACCGCCUAAAUUUUCAGAGCCUUUAAAAUGAGGAUAAAGAUCUUUUGUGCUUGUACUUGGUGGUUACCUGAAAGAGUCACAAAAAAUGUAUGGAUUACUUAAAACUGCGAUAUUUAACAUCAUACAUGGUUUGGAGAAGGUGCAAGAGCUAAAGAGCAACUAGGAUAACCCUUCUAGUUGUGACAAUGAUUUACUAAUCAGAAUUUAGAAGUUCAGAAAUGCCCUAUUUCUUAUUUUUAAAUUAUCUCAGUAGAAGUGAAUCUAUCAAAAGCAGAAGUAGUAAAAAGCAGAAGUAGUAAAAUUUUAAACUAUGAGUUGUCAUGUUUCUCCAGGUAUUAACAAAUAAUUCUUUUGUUAUGUGAUCUAAAAGUAUCUGUAACACAAAUUGCAAAUAUCUUGCAACUAAUGGACCACAGCUUUCCUGAUAGUCUUGUUAUUCUUUUUGCAAGGCCUUGUUAUGAUGUCUUCCUUUCUGCUUUUUUUUCCGAAACACCCGCAGUUAAAGUAGUAUGGAUUGAUAAUAAACAUUCUUCUAACGUUUAUGUAGUAAGAGUUUUCAGUUACUGCAGUCCCAGAUAUUUCCAUAUUUAUAUACAUGCACCACAUAUAGAUGAUGUGUGUGUGUGUGUGUAUAUAUAUAUAUA
Long non-coding RNA from Aquila chrysaetos chrysaetos, 1641 nucleotides. RefSeq lists it as uncharacterized. The record is from RefSeq and is a predicted model, not a curated record. NCBI's taxonomy places the organism in Eukaryota, Metazoa, Chordata, Aves, Accipitriformes, Accipitridae. The transcript has 2 exons.